GGAAAAGGGUGAAUGUAUCACUGAAAUAUAUAAAAAACCUACUUACGUGCCGAUACUAAUACCAGCAUGGUCCAGCGACUACAUGCCAUGUGGACUGGCAGCAGUUGGAGCUUUCUUUGCGCGCAUACACACCCGCAUGGCUGGGCGGGAUAGGCUCCGGGAGCUCUCCUUUGUUUGUAGUAUCGGCCGCAAGUGCGGAUGUGCCUUUAAGAUGAUGGAAGGGGUCUGGAGGAGCAUGGGAGAGCGGUUGGGGGGGCCACAACGAACGAACGUGUCUGCCCAGCAGGGCCAAGUAUGUCCGUCCUCGACAGUCAC
RNAcentral lists this long non-coding RNA (315 nucleotides) under Androctonus crassicauda. The record is from RNAcentral. Lineage: Eukaryota; Metazoa; Arthropoda; Arachnida; Scorpiones; Buthidae.